This 736-nucleotide ribosomal RNA is filed under the name Pseudomonas taeanensis. RNAcentral's name for it is "bacterial SSU rRNA". It matches the Rfam family "Bacterial small subunit ribosomal RNA", at positions 18 to 749 of the family's 1533-position model. Lineage: Bacteria; Pseudomonadati; Pseudomonadota; Gammaproteobacteria; Pseudomonadales; Pseudomonadaceae. The record is from RNAcentral.
CAUGGCUCAGAUUGAACGCUGGCGGCAGGCCUAACACAUGCAAGUCGAGCGGUAGAAAGUAGCUUGCUACUUUUGAGAGCGGCGGACGGGUGAGUAAUGCCUAGGAAUCUGCCUAGUGGUGGGGGAUAACGUUCGGAAACGGACGCUAAUACCGCAUACGUCCUACGGGAGAAAGCGGGGGACCUUCGGGCCUCGCGCCAUUAGAUGAGCCUAGGUCGGAUUAGCUAGUUGGUGAGGUAAUGGCUCACCAAGGCGACGAUCCGUAACUGGUCUGAGAGGAUGAUCAGUCACACUGGAACUGAGACACGGUCCAGACUCCUACGGGAGGCAGCAGUGGGGAAUAUUGGACAAUGGGCGAAAGCCUGAUCCAGCCAUGCCGCGUGUGUGAAGAAGGUCUUCGGAUUGUAAAGCACUUUAAGUUGGGAGGAAGGGUUGUAACUUAAUACGUUGCAAUUUUGACGUUACCGACAGAAUAAGCACCGGCUAACUCUGUGCCAGCAGCCGCGGUAAUACAGAGGGUGCAAGCGUUAAUCGGAAUUACUGGGCGUAAAGCGCGCGUAGGUGGUUUGUUAAGUUGAAUGUGAAAGCCCCGGGCUCAACCUGGGAACUGCAUCCAAAACUGGCAAGCUAGAGUACGGUAGAGGGUGGUGGAAUUUCCUGUGUAGCGGUGAAAUGCGUAGAUAUAGGAAGGAACACCAGUGGCGAAGGCGACCACCUGGACUGAUACUGACACUGA